GCAGUACCGAGCAAUACCGAGUUACAAUAUCGAGCAAUACCGAGCGGUACCGAGCAAUACCGAGAGGUACCGAGCAAUACCAAGUUACAAUACCGAGCAAUACCGAGCGGUACCGUGCAAUACUGAGUUCCAACACCGCUCGGUACUGAGUAGUACCGAACAAUACCGAGUUACAGUACCGAGCAGUACCGAGUUCCAAUACCAAGCGGUACCGAGUUCCAGUACCGCUCGGUAUCGAGCAGGACUGAGCAAUACUGAGUUCCAGUACCGUUCGGUACCAAGCAGUACCGAGUUUCGAUACCAAGCCUAUGAUUAAGAAAACGAAGAACGACGAAGAAAAUGAACCUUCACUGCUCACGUCGCCUUCACUGUUCACGUUGUCGAGCCGCUCCGUCGACGAAGGAUGAUCCUAUUGACUUUAAUGCUCGCGUCUUCAAGCCUCUUUGUCGAUAAAGGAUGAUCCUGCUUGCUUCUAUGCUCGCGUCAUCGAGCCGCUCCUUCAACUAUCACGAAGAAGAUGAACACUUGUGUGGAAACGAAAAACCUAGCUCUUUGAAAUGUUUCAGCCGCAUAAAUGAAUAUGACUAUUGAGCGGAAACGGUGGAAAGCCGAAAAGAAUAGGGUAAAUUGCGGCUAUGUGUUUUUUUUUAAUAGGACACGCAUAUCCGAUACGCAUGUCUAGUCAAAUUUAAAUAAUAUUUUAAUUGGACAUGGCAAAGCCGUAUCCGACACGUAUCCGUGCCGUAUCGGAGGCGUAUUCGUAUCCGACACGUGUCCGAUACAGCACGCCUAGUAAAUAGGAGUAUCCGUGCAACAUAAAUUAUGUUUCUUUUUAAUGGCCAAUAUUUUGCACCAUAAAGCAUUGUUGGUCUCACCACCAUCUUAUAGAAUUUUCCCUUUAGUUUGAGGAACCUUCCAACUUUAAUUCUGCUAAUAAUAUCCACAUCUAUUUCAUUAUCAUUCUGAAUAAUAGGCCUAAGAUAUCUAUCGCUCUGAAUAUUCCAGGACUCAACAAAAGGAUUUACUAAAUCCCACUUGAAUCCAAACAACACCUUGAUUGGUUGAUUUUAAUGAUUGGGAAGUCUCUGGAAAUUCACGAAGAUCUUCCCCCACACUAUGUAAGAGUGGGAUUGCUUCGUGAUGCUACUUUUCUAUUCUCUUGCAAUGGCACGGAGCAGCUUGGAAGGCCCAUGCGUAUUGUGGGGCAACCGCUGCUUGUCUGUGUGUUGGUGUGAGGAAUAAAUAAAUGGAUCUUACUGAUGGAAAGAAGAAUACGAGUCUUUGCCUCUAUGACCACUUGUUGUUCGUUAUGAUUGAUUGGUUUAGCAGUUCACUAUGAGCAGCAUCUCAUAGAUAUGGCAUUUAUGUUUGUAUUCAAGUUCUCAAAAGAGGGAAAAAAAAAGAAAAAAGAAAUGUUUGUUAUGAACGUAGUAAGGUUUGUUGAUUGAUAUAAAAAUUAGGUUGUUUUGAAUGCUAUGUAUGUAAAUCUAUUGAUGACACAAGUUGAUGGAGGCCAAAAGACUUACCUAGUAAUGCUUCACUCCCAAGAAAAACUCAGAUAGCUUAAGCAUGAUUUAUUGCUUACUGCGUCCUAUUGAUAACCUUGCAACUGUUCUGUCUGUGUGCAGUUUUUGAAGAAUCCGUUGGUGGAUUUGCUUUGUUAUGCAACAGUCGUUUGGGUUGCUGGGUAAGCCUACAGCAAGUGUAGUUACCAAGAUGAUGAUCUUGCCCACCUAGAGUAGAACAGGAUUCCUUUCUAUGGUGCUUCAGGAAUAUCCUCUAUUCUUAUUCAUUGACGAUGGAGUUGCUUGGAUGGCCCGUACAUGCAUGGGCAACCGCUCCAUCCAUGCGUUACUCGCACAGAACUAGCUGGCUGAGGGCUGAUCUGCGAAAUGAUUGAACAAAGGGGAAUCUGAGCCCGUUUAAUUUACUCAAUUUUCUAUGGAACAUGCUUUGAAGCAAGCAAAUGAGCCCAUAAGAACAUGCAUCACAGAUCAAGGUGAGCUUCGUAUGAACCUAUAUUCUGGUAUCAUAAGAUAACGCAGGCCCAAGCUGCUCUAAUGUUUUUUACGAAGUCCUAAGAAUAAUGUUCCAAACGAAGCCUAAAUAUGAGCGGAUGGAGUGGCUCGUCUCUUCUGUCUGCCAUCUCCGAUGCUGAUGAUUUUUUAUGCCUAAAGCUAUGAUCAUGCACGCUCUCUCUCUAUAAUUGGGCGAUGAUGAUGAAAUCCAACAUGAAGAGCUAUCUUACCCUGAUUAGGAAUGUUUCCAAGGUGCUUCAGAUAUCGCAAUGCUUCUCUUGCGGUGGUGCUGGUGCCGCUUGGAUGGCCCGCUAAUCUAUGGAAACCGCCGCGUCUGUGCGUCGUUGUUAUAAAACAGGUGCUUGAGGACGGAAACAAGGCUAAUCUGAGCCCCCAAUUUUCACUUUCUUUACCCACCUUUUCUGAAACAGAUUUUCCCGUUCUCUGCAGAAAUACAUUAAGUGAUGAAGCGAUGCUUCACCCCAAAAUAAAUCUCAUCUCUAAGUCGGUACUUUUAGGGGCUCUUUGGUAUCGGAUUGGAUUUAACUUGAGUAAGAUUUAGUCAAUUCUGUAAAAUCCUGAGGGUGAAUUCAUAUAUAUUUAUAUAUUUAAGACCAUUUUUUUUUGUCAGCCGUCAAGUGGUCUGUAUGCCGGUAUCACGAGAUGAUGCAGCCCCAAACUGCAAUGCUCUUUGUAAGUAUGAGUAAAUGCUUCGCUCUCUGCAGAAAACUCAUUUUUUAAGUAUAAUCGCUUUCUCCUGUGUUUCUGUUGAUAACCUGGCAACGGCCGUGCCCGUGCGUAGCUGUGGAUAAUUGGUUGGUGGAUCUGCUUUGUUAUACAGUAAAGAAGAAGACUGCUUUGAAAAGAAUAGUCAGGGCAGUGGCGGAGGAGGAAGCACUAGCUUUGGAAGCAGAGCCUACGCCGAAAGUGCAGCGGACACUCUCCACAGAGCAAGCCAUUAAUGUUCCAGCUUCCCCCCGGAUUUGCUCACAAUGUUCUUCAAGGUACUCUCUAACUUCGCUCCCAAAUUAUUACAUAUAUGUGAUUUUCUUUUCUUUGAUCGUGUAUUUUGGUUUCUAUGAUUAUUUAUUUUGUAUGCUGGUUCUGCAAAUGCUGAGGGAACUAUGGACGACACUGCAAUACCAAAACUCUGCAAUGCUUUAGAGGGGAAAGAAGGUGUCGGUGAUUUGAAGGUGCAAAACCUAGAGGGCAUUGCAAGCGUUGAGAAUCUUGCUAAUAGAUCUAUUGUUGAUGACGUGCUGGGCAAAGUCAAUGGAUUGAAGCCUAUUGGUGUUACAUUAGCUCAACUAGCUAUUGCUUGGUGUGCUUCAAAUCCGAAUGUUUCAUCUGUAAUUACUUGUGCAACAAAGGAGAGCCAGGUAACUUCUUUAUAUCAUUUCAUAAAACACGUGAAAACAAUAUUUAAUCUUGUAAUAGUUCAAUUUCAUUUUUAAUGCAUGUUCUUGUCAAAAACACCCUAGCUAUUUAAGAGGUAAAAAUGCUUGCGCCAUAUUAUGUUUUA
This is an RNA transcript of Dendrobium catenatum, 3540 nucleotides long. It is a transcript of the gene named probable voltage-gated potassium channel subunit beta, with no coding region annotated. The record is from RefSeq and is a predicted model, not a curated record. NCBI's taxonomy places the organism in Eukaryota, Viridiplantae, Streptophyta, Magnoliopsida, Asparagales, Orchidaceae. The transcript is spliced from 5 exons.